AGCUACGGCCAUACGCAAUGAAAAGUGCCGCUUCCCGUCCGAUCAGCAGAAGCCCGUACCAGUCCAGUCAGUACUAGCGUGAGAGAUCAACUGGGAAUACUGGGUGCUGUAGUUU
RNAcentral lists this ribosomal RNA (115 nucleotides) under Gonapodya prolifera JEL478. The record is from RNAcentral. Lineage: Eukaryota; Fungi; Monoblepharomycota; Monoblepharidomycetes; Monoblepharidales; Gonapodyaceae.